RNAcentral lists this ribosomal RNA (434 nucleotides) under uncultured bacterium. Its description in RNAcentral is "bacterial SSU rRNA". It matches the Rfam family "Bacterial small subunit ribosomal RNA", at positions 355 to 787 of the family's 1533-position model. The record is from RNAcentral.
UGAGGAAUAUUGGUCAAUGGGCGGGAGCCUGAACCAGCCAAGCCGCGUGAGGGAAGAAGGCCCUAUGGGUCGUAAACCUCUUUUGUCAGGGAACAAAAGCGAGUAUGUAUACUAGUCUGAGUGUACCUGAAGAAAAAGCAUCGGCUAACUCCGUGCCAGCAGCCGCGGUAAUACGGAGGAUGCGAACGUUAUCCGGAUUUAUUGGGUUUAAAGGGUGCGUAGGCGGCGAUGCAAGUCAGCGGUAAAAGCCCGGGGCUCAACCCCGGCGAGCCGUUGAAACUGCAGUGCUAGAGAAGGCGAGAGGUACGCGGAAUGCGCAGUGUAGCGGUGAAAUGCUUAGAUAUUGCGCAGAACUCCGAUUGCGAAGGCAGCGUACUGGCGCCUGACUGACGCUGAGGCACGAAAGCGUGGGGAUCGAACAGGAUUAGAUACCC